UCGACAUAAAAUUUUGAACGAAGGUCUAAAAGUUUAAAGUUCGAUAAUGAAUAAAGAUUGCGUCAGAGUGAAGGGGAAGUAAUUUGUGAAAGUUGUUUCCCUUGCAGCAUGAUCUAGUAUAAAUGUUUGAGUGUUGUAUUUUCAUAUAAAUGUAAAGAAAUAAUGUAUAUAUUAACUCGUUCAGUGUUUUACCUUGCGACAUGCACAUUCGUUGGGUAUUCGCUGUUUGCGAUGGUAACGCCAUCGGAUGAAGCGAUGAGAAAGAAGCUGGGAAUACCACCAUCUCAGAAGAUAAGUAACACAAACAAACAAUGUAUGGCGGUUUUGAAAAGAUCUGCAGGGAUUCCAGAUGAAAAGUGAUUAUGAUGUACAGUGUCAGCAUCAGCACUUCAAUGUACUGUACUGUUAACCUGAAUAAUAACAAAGACAUAAGAUCCUGUCUCUUAGUCUUGCACAUGUUUAUGGAUAUAUUGUAUAAUAUUAUAUCACAUUAUAUCAGUUCAUUUUUUUUUUUAGUAGAAAUGGAUUACAAUUUUAUUUUUAACCAUCUGAAAGGCACAAAGUUUAAAAAGAUACCAAAAUAUAUGUAGGACAUGCACAUGUGCAAGCGGUCUCUGCUCAUGUACUGGUAGAGUUUUGAUUACAAAAUAUUUGAUAUUCCAGAUAUCUUCUCUGAAUGGUAUUAUAUCUUGUGUAACAUCUUUAGAAUUGUUUACACUUGUUACUCUUAUAUUUUAGAAGAAAGCUUGUAUCUAUAAAAUGAGUUGUGAAGUGUAUACAUGUGACUGAAGUUCUGAAUAUGCUAUGUCCAAUAGUGUGGACAAUUGAAGUGAAAGUGGAAAUAAUUACCUAACAACUGUGUUUGAUGUGUGAAUAUCCCUUGUAAAUAUCCCUUGGACGUUUUCUUAUUCAGAAAUACAGUGUUGGACAUUUUGGAUGACAGAUAAAUAAAUCCAUUAAUCAUUAAACUGAUGAAUGGAACCAGAUAUCAAGUUUGAUAUUGUGGGUAUACGUAUGUGAUAAUAAAACAUUAAAAUAA
Molecule: long non-coding RNA, 1039 nt
Organism: Gigantopelta aegis
Lineage: Eukaryota; Metazoa; Mollusca; Gastropoda; Neomphalida; Peltospiridae
Exons: 2
Source: RefSeq, a predicted model, not a curated record